Molecule: ribosomal RNA, 496 nt
Filed under: uncultured bacterium
Lineage: Bacteria
Description: partial 16S ribosomal RNA
Rfam family: Bacterial small subunit ribosomal RNA
Source: RNAcentral
AUGAACGCUGGCGGCGUGCCUAAUACAUGCAAGUCGAGCGAACGGACGAGGAGCUUGCUUCUCUGAUGUUAGCGGCGGACGGGUGAGUAACACGUGGAUAACCUACCUAUAAGACUGGGAUAAUUUCGGGAAACCGGAGCUAAUACCGGAUAAUAUUUUGAACCGCAUGGUUCAAAAGUGAAAGACGGUCUUGCUGUCACUUAUAGAUGGAUCCGCGCUGCAUUAGCUAGUUGGUAAGGUAACGGCUUACCAAGGCAACGAUGCAUAGCCGACCUGAGAGGGUGAUCGGCCACACUGGAACUGAGACACGGUCCAGACUCCUACGGGAGGCAGCAGUAGGGAAUCUUCCGCAAUGGGCGAAAGCCUGACGGAGCAACGCCGCGUGAGUGAUGAAGGUCUUCGGAUCGUAAAACUCUGUUAUUAGGGAAGAACAUAUGUGUAAGUAACUGUGCACAUCUUGACGGUACCUAAUCAGAAAGCCACGGCUAACUACGUG